ACGGGAGGCAGCAGUGGGGAAUAUUGGGCAAUGGGCGAAAGCCUGACCCAGCGACGCCGCGUGAGGGAAGACGGUCUUCGGAUUGUAAACCUCUUUUAUAGAGGACGAAACAAAUGACGGUACUCUAUGAAUAAGCCACGGCUAACUACGUGCCAGCAGCCGCGGUAAUACGUAGGUGGCGAGCGUUAUCCGGAUUUACUGGGUGUAAAGGGUGUGUAGGCGGGACAGCAAGUCAGAUGUGAAAAUUAUGGGCUUAACUCAUAACUUGCAUUUGAAACUGUAGUUCUUGAGGGUCGGAGAGGUAACCGGAAUUCCUGGUGUAGCGGUGAAAUGCGUAGAUAUCAGGAGGAACACCGGUGGCGAAGGCGGGUUACUGGACGAUUACUGACGCUGAGACACGAAAGCGUGGGGAGCAAACAGGAUUAGAUACCCUGGUA
This 437-nucleotide ribosomal RNA is filed under the name uncultured Oscillospiraceae bacterium. RNAcentral's name for it is "partial 16S ribosomal RNA". It matches the Rfam family "Bacterial small subunit ribosomal RNA", at positions 341 to 792 of the family's 1533-position model. The record is from RNAcentral. Lineage: Bacteria; Bacillati; Bacillota; Clostridia; Eubacteriales; Oscillospiraceae.